CAGUCGAGGGGCAGCAUGGUCUUAGCUUGCUAAGGCCGAUGGCGACCGGCGCACGGGUGAGUAACGCGUAUCCAACCUGCCUUACACUCUUGGACAGCCUUCUGAAAGGGAGAUUAAUACAAGAUGUUAUCAUGAGUAAGCAUUUUCGCAUGAUUAAAGGUUUACCGGUGUAAGAUGGGGAUGCGUUCCAUUAGAUAGUAGGCGGGGUAACGGCCCACCUAGUCUUCGAUGGAUAGGGGUUCUGAGAGGAAGGUCCCCCACAUUGGAACUGAGACACGGUCCAAACUCCUACGGGAGGCAGCAGUGAGGAAUAUUGGUCAAUGGACGAGAGUCUGAACCAGCCAAGUAGCGUGAAGGAUGAAGGUUCUAUGGAUUGUAAACUUCUUUUAUACGGGAAUAAACGGAUCCACGUGUGGAUUUUUGCAUGUACCGUAUGAAUAAGGAUCGGCUAACUCCGUGCCAGCAGCCGCGGUAAUACGGAGGAUCCGAGCGUUAUCCGGAUUUAUUGGGUUUAAAGGGAGCGUAGAUGGGUUGUUAAGUCAGUUGUGAAAGUUUGCGGCUCAACCGUAAAAUUGCAAUUGAUACUGGCAGUCUUGAGUACAGUUGAGGUAGGCGGAAUUCGUGGUGUAGCGGUGAAAUGCUUAGAUAUCACGAAGAACUCCGAUUGCGAAGGCAGCUUACUAACCUGUAACUGACAUUGAUGCUCGAAAGUGUGGGUAUCAAACAGGAUUAGAUACCCUGGUAGUCCACACGGUAAACGAUGAAUACUCGCUGUAGGCGAUACACAGUCUGC
RNAcentral lists this ribosomal RNA (793 nucleotides) under uncultured bacterium. Its description in RNAcentral is "bacterial SSU rRNA". It matches the Rfam family "Bacterial small subunit ribosomal RNA", at positions 59 to 844 of the family's 1533-position model. The record is from RNAcentral.